AUUGUAUGAUUUACACCUAUGCCUAAGUUGUGCAUGUAAGGAGUUUGAUAAAAUACCUAAGAGACUAGAAAUCAUGCAUUAUAGCUAAAUUGUGACUAAGUGAAGGAUUCAUGAUAUGCAACCAUAUUCCAAUGAUUUUCAUGUUGAUAUUGUGUCUUGUAAAUGUUGUUGGGAUGUUCAUGAACUAGUCUUAUGAGAUUAUGCCAUGCGUACUUGCAAAUCCUACUUAUGUACAAAAUGUAUGAUAUCCAUGCACUUCAUGGAAUUCCCCAAGUUAUGAUAUUAUGGG
Molecule: long non-coding RNA, 289 nt
Filed under: Capsicum annuum
Lineage: Eukaryota; Viridiplantae; Streptophyta; Magnoliopsida; Solanales; Solanaceae
Description: long non-coding RNA (CANN_LNC003226)
Source: RNAcentral